This 440-nucleotide ribosomal RNA is filed under the name uncultured bacterium. RNAcentral's name for it is "bacterial SSU rRNA". It matches the Rfam family "Bacterial small subunit ribosomal RNA", at positions 8 to 457 of the family's 1533-position model. The record is from RNAcentral.
AGAGUUGAUCCCUGGCUCAGAACGAACGCUGGCGGCAGGCCUCAAACAUGCAAGUCUAGCGGGCGUUAGCAAAUACGUCAGCGGCGGACGGGGUGCGGUAACACGUGGGAACGUACCCUUUGGGUUCGGAACAACUCAGGGGAAACUUGAGCUAAUACCGAAUGUGCCCGAAAGGGGAAGAAAGAUUUAUCCCCCAAGGAUCUCGCCCCCGCUUCGCAUAUAACCCUGGUUGGGUUGGGGUUAAUUGGCCCCCCCCAAGGCCAAACAAAUCCAAUAGCCGGGUUCUGAAAAGGAACAAUCAGCCCACACUGGGACUGAGACACGGCCAGACUCUACGGGAGGCGCGUGGGAAUCUGGACAUGGGGAACCCUGAUCAGCCUGCCGCGUGAGUGAUGAAGGCGUAAGGUUGUAAACUCUUUCGGCGGGGACCAUUAUUACCG